Non-coding RNA from Paramuricea clavata, 257 nucleotides. Lineage: Eukaryota; Metazoa; Cnidaria; Anthozoa; Malacalcyonacea; Plexauridae. The record is from the annotation of a GenBank genome assembly.
GUUGCCAAAUCGCGUCAGGUCUGUAUGGGCCUUGAGGCUGCCCAAUUAAUUAAUUAAGUGGAAACAAUAUGACAAAUUUCAAUAUGGCGGAGUGCAGAGGGCGGAGCGUAACAAUCUAACAAUAUGGAGGACUGACUAAUCUGUAAAAAUGAUGCAUGUUUAGAAUAUGCAAAAAGAAAAAAUGUGACAUAAACAUGCUUAUAAUUACAACUGCGUGCUAUGUUAUUUGAAUAAGUUUUUAGUAGGCAUGAUGUAGG